Molecule: unclassified non-coding RNA, 253 nt
Filed under: uncultured Rhodobacterales bacterium
Lineage: Bacteria; Pseudomonadati; Pseudomonadota; Alphaproteobacteria; Rhodobacterales
Description: contains 16S-23S intergenic spacer region
Rfam family: Bacterial small subunit ribosomal RNA
Source: RNAcentral
UACGGAGGGGGUUAGCGUUGUUCGGAAUUACUGGGCGUAAAGCGUACGUAGGCGGAUCAGAAAGUUGGGGGUGAAAUCCCAGGGCUCAACCCUGGAACUGCCUCCAAAACUCCUGGUCUUGAGUUCGAGAGAGGUGAGUGGAAUUCCGAGUGUAGAGGUGAAAUUCGUAGAUAUUCGGAGGAACACCAGUGGCGAAGGCGGCUCACUGGCUCGAUACUGACGCUGAGGUACGAAAGUGUGGGGAGCAAACAGG